Molecule: unclassified non-coding RNA, 230 nt
Filed under: plant metagenome
Description: partial contains small subunit ribosomal RNA, internal transcribed spacer 1, and 5.8S ribosomal RNA
Source: RNAcentral
UCUCCGUAGGUGAACCUGCGGAGGGAUCAUUACCGAGCUCAUGCCCUUACGGGUAGAUCUCCCACCCUGUGUUAUUAUUACCUUUGUUGCUUUGGCGGGCCGCCAGGCUCCGGUCAGGCUAUCGGCUUCGGCUGGUAAGCGCCCGCCAGAGGACCCUAUAUCCUGAUUAUUAGUGUCGUCCGAGUACUAUAUAAUAGUUAAAACUUUCAACAACGGAUCUCUUGGUUCUG